UAUCAGUUUAGGUACGUUCACUUUAAUAUGUUUCAUCAUGCAAGAAAAGUGUUAAAAUAGAGAGGGAUUUGGCUUAAGCAGCUUAUUGAUCAGAUUUUUUUUUUUGUCAUCCGAAUGCCUCAGGUCUUCCGGAGGAUUCUGUCCUUCAUCUGCUUUACCGCAUCUUAAAACGUCAAACUUUAACAUCCAUACAGACACCAUAUGUUAAUGUGCAUUGAUCUUGUUCUUUAGUAAUCCAUCGUAUCCGAUGAUGACAUUCCUCAUGAUAGAUUCACUCGCACACUCUGUCAGCCACGACCAACCUGUUUCUUUUGCUUAAUCCACAUGUUUUAUGCGUCAUUACAUCAGUCCAUUUAGUCUCUCUCUUUCACACAUACACACACAAUCCUAACUUUUUCUCAUUAACCAUCUUUGCCCCAUCUAUUUCCCCAGUGAUGGCUCCAGCACUACCUUCGAUAAGCCAUCUCCAUGGAAACAGCCCAGCAACAGGCUUUCCCCUCAUGGCCAAUGAGAGCGUGAUGAGUCCUGGAUUCUCCUCCAAUGGAGGUGGGCCUGGCAAACUCAAGUGUGCACCUGUAUCAUUUUGAGGUGGCGCAAAGUGACCCAAUCGUUCGAGCCGCUUCAUCAUCAUCAUCCCUGCAUUGAGCAUGUGAAACAGAGGGCUUUUCAAAGACUGCAUUGCCAGCCAUCUCCAGUCACAUGACCUGCCUUCCCAGUGGUCUCCUAGCAACCUCCUCCCCUCCCCCUCCAUCCAUCCCUUGCUGUAUUCUGUUACUCCUGGACUCGUAUACGCGUGGGAGUGGACGUGAUCGAGUGAGCCAGUGAGGUAUGUGGUUAUUUAUAGAUCUGAUGGAUA
Molecule: long non-coding RNA, 856 nt
Organism: Pimephales promelas (fathead minnow)
Lineage: Eukaryota; Metazoa; Chordata; Actinopteri; Cypriniformes; Leuciscidae
Source: RefSeq, a predicted model, not a curated record